Molecule: long non-coding RNA, 421 nt
Filed under: Homo sapiens (human)
Lineage: Eukaryota; Metazoa; Chordata; Mammalia; Primates; Hominidae
Description: HSALNT0323602
Source: RNAcentral
AGUUGGCAGGAUGGCAGCAGCAGACACACAGGGUGGUUAAGAACAACAAACACAGAGAAGAAAACUGAGGCAUAGAACAUUUGGGAAUGAAUCUAAGACUACACAUCUAGAAUAGCAGAGUUACAGGAAUGCAGAUGUGAUUCCUAUGGAUGAGGGUAACCUAGAGGCUAGAAGAACAAUAGGACAGAAGAAGCCUGGGUCCCUGAACAACCUUGUGGAGCAUAGACACCUACGUGGCCUGGACUGCCAGCUCACAAUGGGCCUCUCUGUGAGAGAAGGAAACUUCCCUCUUGUUUAAGCAACUGUGCUUUUGAGAAUCUCUUGGUCUAUACCCUAAUGAAUAAGGCCAUCAUAAAUGGAUAUCAAAGUAAGGAAAUUUGUGUAAAUGAUUUAAUAAAACAUUACCUCAGGUAUGAAAUAA